Molecule: ribosomal RNA, 500 nt
Filed under: uncultured bacterium
Lineage: Bacteria
Description: partial 16S ribosomal RNA
Rfam family: Bacterial small subunit ribosomal RNA
Source: RNAcentral
AUUGAACGCUGGCGGCAUGCCUUACACAUGCAAGUCGAACGGCUGCACGGGAGCAAUCCUGGUGGCGAGUGGCGAACGGGUGAGUAAUGUAUCGGAACGUGCCCAGUCGUGGGGGAUAACGCAGCGAAAGCUGUGCUAAUACCGCAUACGAUCUAUGGAUGAAAGCGGGGGAUCGCAAGACCUCGCGCGAUUGGAGCGGCUGAUAUCAGAUUAGCUAGUUGGUGGGGUAAAAGCUUACCAAGGCGACGAUCUGUAGCUGGUCUGAGAGGACGACCAGCCACACUGGAACUGAGACACGGGCCAGACUCCUACGUGAGGCAGGAGUGGGGAAUUUUGGACAAUGGGCGCAAGCCUGAUCCAGCAGUGCGGCGUGCAGGAUGAAGGCCUUCGGGUUGUAAACUGCUUUUGUACGGAGCGAAAAGGCUCUCUCUAAUACAGGGGGCUUAUGACGGUACCGUAAGAAUAAGCACCGGCUAACUACGUGCCAGCAGCCGCGGUAA